RNAcentral lists this ribosomal RNA (265 nucleotides) under Acinetobacter baumannii. RNAcentral's name for it is "partial 16S ribosomal RNA". It matches the Rfam family "Bacterial small subunit ribosomal RNA", at positions 161 to 428 of the family's 1533-position model. The record is from RNAcentral. Lineage: Bacteria; Pseudomonadati; Pseudomonadota; Gammaproteobacteria; Moraxellales; Moraxellaceae.
AGCGAAUACCGCAUAAUGUCGCAAGACCAAAGUGGGGGACCUUCGGGCCUCAUGCCAUCAGAUGUGCCCAGAUGGGAUUAGCUAGUAGGUGGGGUAACGGCUCACCUAGGCGACGAUCCCUAGCUGGUCUGAGAGGAUGACCAGCCACACUGGAACUGAGACACGGUCCAGACUCCUACGGGAGGCAGCAGUGGGGAAUAUUGCACAAUGGGCGCAAGCCUGAUGCAGCCAUGCCGCGUGUGUGAAGAAGGCCUUCGGGUUGUAA